This 111-nucleotide small RNA is filed under the name Chelonoidis abingdonii (Abingdon island giant tortoise). RNAcentral describes it as "TUC338 (ENSCABG00000016224.1)". The record is from RNAcentral. Lineage: Eukaryota; Metazoa; Chordata; Testudines; Testudinidae.
AUUCUUUUCCUAAUUCCCAGAAAAGGCACAGGAUGAGCAGCAAUAGUGUAAGUUUCCCCUGCACUGUCUAUCCAAUGUGCCUCAAACCUGACCCAAAGAGAGGAAAGGGUU